AACUGUUGGCGCAAUUAUUAGAAAAUGGAAGAAGUUCAAGAUGACGGUCAAUCUCCCUCAGUCUGGGGCUCCAUGCAAGAUCUCACCUCCCCAGAACUACACGGCAGGACCUGGUCAAUGACUUGAGGAGAGCUUGGACCACAGUCUCAAACAAAACCAUUAGUAACACACUACGCCGUCAUGGAUUAAAAGGUCCUCCUGCUCAAGCCAGCGCAUGUCCAGGCUCGUCUGGAGUUUGCCAAUGACCAUCUAGAUGAUCCAGAGGAGGAAUGGGAGAAGGUCAUGUGGUCUGAUGAGACA
This is a long non-coding RNA of Etheostoma spectabile (orangethroat darter), 300 nucleotides long. RefSeq lists it as uncharacterized. The record is from RefSeq and is a predicted model, not a curated record. The transcript has 2 exons. Lineage: Eukaryota; Metazoa; Chordata; Actinopteri; Perciformes; Percidae.